UGGGGAAUAUUGCACAAUGGCGGGAACUCUGAUGCAGCGACGCCGCGUGAGUGAUGAAGGAAUUCGUUUCGUAAAACUCUGUUCUAUGGGAAGAAAAGGACUGUACCAUAGGAGAAAGCUCCUGCUAAAUACGUGCCAGCAGCCGCGGUAAUACGUAUGGAGCGAGCGUUGUCCGGAAUUAUUGGGCGUAAAGGGUGCGCAGGCGGCUUUACAAGUUGGAUGUGAAAUAUUGUGGCUCAACCACAAACGUGCAUCCAAAACUGCAAAGCUUGAGUUACGGAGAGGUAAGUGGAAUUCCUGGUGUAGCGGUGGAAUGCGUAGAUAUCAGGAGGAAUACCGGUGGCGAAGGCGACUUACUGGACUUAAACUGACGCUCAGGCACGAAAGCGUGGGGAGCAAACAGG
RNAcentral lists this ribosomal RNA (404 nucleotides) under Fusobacteriota bacterium. Its description in RNAcentral is "Fusobacteria bacterium partial 16S ribosomal RNA". It matches the Rfam family "Bacterial small subunit ribosomal RNA", at positions 355 to 776 of the family's 1533-position model. The record is from RNAcentral. Lineage: Bacteria; Fusobacteriati; Fusobacteriota.